CGUGGCCAGACCUGAAGCAGGGCUCAGUGGGGGCGUGUCCUUGGCUCAUCUGACCCCUCCCCGGUGCCCCUCACUGAUCUGUCCCCCUCCACCCCCCGGGUCCAUCCUUCUGCCCCCUCCCUGCAGCCCUGCUGACUCGAGGCUGUUAGCCCUGGGCCUGUCCCACAGGGGAGCCCAGAGUGUGUAUAAUAGUUUACUGGGCGCUUACUGUGUACCAGGCACUGAUCCAGCACUUUACCUGUAUGAAUUCAUUUAUUGUGUACAACAACACUACGCGGUCAGUGAUGAAUUAUCCUUAUUUUACAAAUAGAAAGCCUGAGGCUUGAAAGGAGCCCGUUUUUUGUGUGCCGGGCUCAGGGAGCAUCCUGUGGAAGGAUGGGGGUUGGGGAAGGGUGCUUCAUCCACUUCCUCGGAUCCCAGUGCUCUCUCUGUCAGGCACGACUCCCAGGAAAUGGCCUGUCGAUCUACUGGUCCCAGCUCUGAUGGCCCAUGGCCUGUCCUGCAGGCGGAAGGGUGGGUCUUGCCCAGCUGGUUCCAGUUAGGCACAAGAAAGCUGGCGAGGGGUAUAUUUAGCCCUGGUUUCUGGAGGAGCCAGAGGUCUUUCAUCCUUGGAGGCGCUGGCCACAGCGGGACUCAGCUUGCCAACACUGGGCUCCUGGGCUGCAGGGCAGACAGGCUUCGGGCAGGGAGCGGGGUCAGGGAGGAGAAGGGGUACAUGUGACCCUGUGCAUCUCUGUGGCUGGCGGGGGCAGUGUUAGUGCCAGUCAGGGCCUCUCAGUUCUGAAUGCCACUCUCAGGAUGUGUUUAGGUUUGCAGGCUCUGGAGACGUGGGCUACAGUCUAUGGAGUCGCAAAGAAUCGGACACGGCUUAGAAACAAAACAACAGCAAGCAUUGGAGGGCCGGCCUGGAGGUAGACCAGCUGCCUGCCCCCGUGAGCCUGGGUCCAGCUAAGGCCUCAUGUGUCUGUGGCAUGGGGUUAGCCGGGCCUGGGAGUCCAGGGGCCUGUACUUAAAAUUAAGCAGCAGAGGUGUUCAGGGGGUAGAAUUGCAGGGACAGGAGAGGGUGGCCCUUCCAUUCUCUCUGAGGAGGCUGACAUGUUUGGGCAUUGAUAUUUUGGAGAAGGUGGAGGGUUGUGGGGGCAGGUAUAUCUGUGUAAGAGAGAAACAGGCCCACGGAGAGGCAACUACAUGGUGCCAAGUGGUGCUGGGGGGAUUGGUGGUGGGGGUGGUAAUGAACGGAGAAGGCUUAAAGUAGGGGAAAGCUCAGUGAGGGGCAGGGGAUUCUGCCAGCAGAGAUGGGGGCCUGUGGAGGAGGCAACCCUCUCCCAGGCUCAACCCAUGGAAAAGUCCUCUCCAGCAGGCAUUGGGGUAGUUUAGUCUCCCACACCCUACCCCAUGCAUUGCUCUGCACUUGGCAUUUCUGUCUUACAUAAGGUACCCCCUUGCACACCACCCCAACCCCCACCAGCACCUUCACUUGGGUAGAUCUUCAUUCCUCCCCAGGGAGCCAGCAUCUGUUUGUGCAGCCACUGGGCGCUGGGUUAGCACGAAAAGCCACCCCAACUUCUGGCCCCACUGGGCACGUGCAGGCCCUGGCACUAUCCCAUUCCAAAAACCGGGGUCCCUCUCUCCAGCACGGCCCAGCGGCUCCUGCCCGACCUCUCCCCCGGCCCCGCCCUGCUCGGAGCAGACCUCUAAUCCACCAGGAACCUCCUCAGAAAACCAUUAGGCAGCCAGGCCCUGCGGGCCUCCGACAGGCCCUCUCCCCCACCCUCCACCUCCCACUUCCCACCUCCCGUCUCCGCCACGCCCACCCUGCAGUUCUGGGCGCAGGCCCCAAGCGGACCCCUCGUUUUUGCUCCACUGCUGCAGGCGGCUCUGUCCUUAGACCCGGCCGGGCCUGAGGCUGGCCCCGUGCCUUCUGGCCCUCAUGCCAGCCUCUUCCCGGGGGCCCCCAACUCGCCAGGGAACGCUGGAGGAGGGAGCUUACCCUUACAUCUAGGCUCCCAGGCUCUGCAUGUCCUCCCCCAGUCCUGCCAGUCUGGGGGUGGCCGGGGACGCGCUGUGGGCCGGGCAGUGGCAGGGCUGGCCGAGGGCCCCUCCCGAGUUGGGCUCACUCCACCCCGCCUUCGAAUCCCAGGAUCGUGCUGUCUAGGCCACACCCGACCCCAGCCUUCUUCCUCUCUGCUCCUGGCCGCCCCUUUCCCAGCCCUGAGCCUCUCCUCCUCCUCCAAGUCUGCCCAGAAGGCUGCACCUCCUCUCCUGGGGCCCACGCUGCAGUGAUGGAAGCGAUGGAAGUGCCUCACGUUCAGCCCUAGUCACGGGGACUUGGCUUUGGUUCUGGUCUUGGGCGAGUCGCCUGACCUCUCCGAGACUGUUUGCUCAGCCAAAAUAGGGCUAUUAACCCCACCUGUCGCAUUCGGGUGGUAGAUGAGAGCCUGGCCCAGUAACUGGUGAAUUUAUGGUAGAGCCGCGAAGGGCUGGGACCUGUCUCUGCCUUCAAACUGGUCAGGAAUUGUCACCUUCAAGCUUUAGCCACCCCCAGGGCCCACUGUGAGAGUGGGGAGGACCGUGGGGACCCAUUUGUCUCCAGGUCAUACCAGACAUUGAAAGCAGGUGCUUCCCCUUCUGUCCUCAACUGGCCAAGACAAAGAAAGGCCUUGUGUGGGGUUGGUGAUGAUGGGCUUCUCAGCAUGGGAGGGAGGGAAAGGGCAUCCUCCUUUCCAGAGCUCUAGGUUGAGGGGACUCCAGGCUGGGAGGGGCAGUGGG
Molecule: long non-coding RNA, 2769 nt
Filed under: Cervus hanglu yarkandensis (Yarkand deer)
Lineage: Eukaryota; Metazoa; Chordata; Mammalia; Artiodactyla; Cervidae
Description: lncRNA (ENSCHYG00000003850.1)
Source: RNAcentral